Molecule: ribosomal RNA, 618 nt
Filed under: uncultured archaeon
Lineage: Archaea
Description: bacterial SSU rRNA
Rfam family: Archaeal small subunit ribosomal RNA
Source: RNAcentral
UGCGAGUCAUAUGUUCUUCGUGAACAUGGCGUACUGCUCAGUAACACGUGGAUAACCUGCCCUUGGGACCGGGGUAACCCCGGGAAACUGGGGAUAAUACCGGAUAACGCAUAUCUGCUGGAAUGCUUUAUGCGUAAAAUGGAUUUGUCUGCCCAAGGAUGGGUCUGCGGCCUAUCAGGUAGUAGUGGGUGUAAUGUACCUACUAGCCUACGACGGGUACGGGUUGUGAGAGCAAGAGCCCGGAGAUGGAUUCUGAGACAUGAAUCCAGGCCCUACGGGGCGCAGCAGGCGCGAAAACUUUACAAUGCGGGAAACCGUGAUAAGGGGACACCGAGUGCCAGCAUCAUAUGUUGGCUGUCCAGAUGUGUAAAAUACAUCUGUUAGCAAGGGCCGGGCAAGACCGGUGCCAGCCGCCGCGGUAACACCGGCGGCCCGAGUGGUGAUCGUGAUUAUUGGGUCUAAAGGGUCCGUAGCCGGUUUGGUCAGUCCUCCGGGAAAUCUGACGGCUCAACCGUUAGGCUUUCGGUGGAUACUGCCAGACUUGGAACCGGGAGAGGUAAGAGGUACUACAGGGGUAGGAGUGAAAUCUUGUAAUCCCUGUGAGACCACCUGUGGCGA